RNAcentral lists this microRNA precursor (91 nucleotides) under Chlorocebus sabaeus (green monkey). Its description in RNAcentral is "miRNA (ENSCSAG00000026581.1)". The stretch from base 13 to 84 matches the Rfam family "mir-622 microRNA precursor family". Lineage: Eukaryota; Metazoa; Chordata; Mammalia; Primates; Cercopithecidae. The record is from RNAcentral.
AGAGGAGCUGGACAAGUACUGGUCUCAGCAGAUUGAGGAGAGCACCUCAGUGGUCACCACGCAGUCCACCGAGGUUGGAGCUGCUGGGAUG